GAGAAAUUAGUUAAAAAAUAACAUUAGGUUGUCAUCCUAAAAUUUAAAAUUUCUCU
RNAcentral lists this transfer RNA (56 nucleotides) under Liphistius erawan. Its description in RNAcentral is "tRNA-Asp". Lineage: Eukaryota; Metazoa; Arthropoda; Arachnida; Araneae; Liphistiidae. The record is from RNAcentral.